Molecule: ribosomal RNA, 200 nt
Filed under: Durinskia baltica
Lineage: Eukaryota; Dinophyceae; Peridiniales; Kryptoperidiniaceae
Description: partial Bacterial large subunit ribosomal RNA
Rfam family: Bacterial large subunit ribosomal RNA
Source: RNAcentral
CGUGAGUUGGGUUCAGAACGUCGCGAGACAGUUCGGUCCAUAUCCGGCAUGGGCGUUAGAGUAUUGAGAGUGGCCUUUCUCUAGUACGAGAGGACCGAGAAAGACAUACCUCUAGUGUACCAGUUAUUGUGCCAUCGGUAGACGCUGGGUAGCUAUGUAUGGUUUGGAUAACCGCUGAAGGCAUCUAAGUGGGAAGCCGU